RNAcentral lists this ribosomal RNA (253 nucleotides) under uncultured bacterium. Its description in RNAcentral is "partial 16S ribosomal RNA". It matches the Rfam family "Bacterial small subunit ribosomal RNA", at positions 524 to 776 of the family's 1533-position model. The record is from RNAcentral.
GACGGAAGGUGCAAGCGUUGCUCGGAAUCACUGGGCGUAAAGGGUGCGUAGGCGGCCGUGCAAGUCUGGCGUGAAAGCCCCGGGCUCAGCCCGGGAAGUGCGCUCGAAACUGCGCGGCUCGAGUGCCGGAGGGGAGAGUGGAAUUCCUGGCGUAGCGGUGAAAUGCGUAGAUAUCAGGAGGAAUACCGGUGGCGAAAGCGACUCUCUGGACGGCAACUGACGCUGAGGCACGAAAGCGUGGGGAGCAAACAGG